Molecule: ribosomal RNA, 253 nt
Filed under: uncultured bacterium
Lineage: Bacteria
Description: partial 16S ribosomal RNA
Rfam family: Bacterial small subunit ribosomal RNA
Source: RNAcentral
UACGGGGGGGGCAAGCGUUGUUCGGAAUUACUGGGCGUAAAGGGCGUGUAGGCGGCCAACUAAGUCCGACGUGAAAUCCCCAGGCUUAACCUGGGAACUGCGUCGGAUACUGGAUGGCUUGAGUUUGGGAGAGGGACGCGGAAUUCCAGGUGUAGCGGUGAAAUGCGUAGAUAUCUGGAGGAACACCGGUGGCGAAGGCGGCAUCCUGGACCGAGAUUGACGCUGAGGCGCGAAAGCCAGGGGAGCAAACGGG